This 207-nucleotide unclassified non-coding RNA is filed under the name uncultured Glomeraceae. RNAcentral's name for it is "sequence contains 18S rRNA gene". The record is from RNAcentral. Lineage: Eukaryota; Fungi; Glomeromycota; Glomeromycetes; Glomerales; Glomeraceae.
UACGUCAACCCUAGAAACCAACAAAAUAAGAUCGACGUCCUAUUUCAUUAUUCCAUGCUAAUGUAUUCAAGCGUUAGCCUGCUUUAAACACUCUAAUUUUUUCAAAGUAACAGUCCUGUUUCCCCGCAACACCAAGUUAAUGGCAUCACGGUUCUACAAGAGGGAGGAAUCAGUGAGGCCAGUUCAUACCGUUGGCACGACCGACCU